This 73-nucleotide transfer RNA is filed under the name Treponema sp. Its description in RNAcentral is "tRNA-Thr". It matches the Rfam family "tRNA". Rfam says of the family: Transfer RNA (tRNA) molecules are approximately 80 nucleotides in length. The record is from RNAcentral. Lineage: Bacteria; Pseudomonadati; Spirochaetota; Spirochaetia; Treponematales; Treponemataceae.
GCCGCCUUAGCUCAGCAGGUAGAGUACUUGACUUGUAAUCAUGAGGUCUCCGGUUCGAUUCCGGGAGGCGGCU